GGGAGUAUAAGAUCAGCGGUCAAUCUGCUAGGCUCUUAACCUAUGCAACGGGGGUUCGAAUCCCUCUGCUCCCA
RNAcentral lists this transfer RNA (74 nucleotides) under seawater metagenome. RNAcentral's name for it is "tRNA-Lys". It matches the Rfam family "tRNA". Rfam says of the family: Transfer RNA (tRNA) molecules are approximately 80 nucleotides in length. Their secondary structure includes four short double-helical elements and three loops (D, anti-codon, and T loops). Further hydrogen bonds mediate the characteristic L-shaped molecular structure. tRNAs have two regions of fundamental functional importance: the anti-codon, which is responsible for specific mRNA codon recognition, and the 3' end, to which the tRNAs corresponding amino acid is attached (by aminoacyl-tRNA synthetases). tRNAs cope with the degeneracy of the genetic code in two manners: having more than one tRNA (with a specific anti-codon) for a particular amino acid; and 'wobble' base-pairing, i.e. permitting non-standard base-pairing at the 3rd anti-codon position. The record is from RNAcentral.